RNAcentral lists this ribosomal RNA (351 nucleotides) under uncultured bacterium. RNAcentral describes it as "partial 16S ribosomal RNA". The record is from RNAcentral.
CCUCCCGUAGGAGUCUGGACCGUGUCUCAGUUCCAGUGUGGCCGAUCACCCUCUCAGGUCGGCUAUGCAUCGUUGCCUUGGUAAGCCGUUACCUUACCAACUAGCUAAUGCAGCGCGGAUCCAUCUAUAAGUGACAGCAAGACCGUCUUUCACUUUUGAACCAUGCGGUUCAAAAUAUUAUCCGGUAUUAGCUCCGGUUUCCCGAAGUUAUCCCAGUCUUAUAGGUAGGUUAUCCACGUGUUACUCACCCGUCCGCCACUAACAUCAGAGAAGCAAGCUUCUCGUCCGUUCGCUCGACUUGCAUGUAUUAGGCACGCCGCCAGCGUUCAUCCUGAGCCAGGAUCAAACUCU